Ornithorhynchus anatinus (platypus) is the source of this 377-nucleotide long non-coding RNA. RefSeq lists it as uncharacterized. The transcript is spliced from 2 exons. Lineage: Eukaryota; Metazoa; Chordata; Mammalia; Monotremata; Ornithorhynchidae. The record is from RefSeq and is a predicted model, not a curated record.
AGGUCAGCCGCAACCCGUUGUUCAGUGAUCCGGCAGGUGGCCGAUCAUUGGCUGAGCGGCCUUGUCAGUCGGCGCGGCCUCCGGCGCCGAUUGGCGGCUACGGAAGACCGCCAGGGUCUCCAACAUGGGUGGAUAGGCCCCGCCCACAGCCCCCCAUGCCAGCCAAGAGCCAUAGGCCCACCUGUUCUCUACCUGCAAAUGAUACUCCCAGAAAUGAAGAAGACACCAGGGCCAUGGGGACCACGGGACGCCAAAUGCUUCAGACCAAACCUCAAUCCGGAAGUCUUCUCAAUUGACACUUCCCAUUUCCCUUUUUGAGAAAAGAAACCCAGAGGGUGUCACCUACUGGUGCAAUAUUAAAAUCACAUUUAAAUCUG